GGCUAUUCUGAGUGCAGUUGUGUUUAUAAUUAAUGACAGCCAGUUGCAGAUUUCUUUGUUCCUUCUCUUCUCCUAUUGCUUCACUUGACUAGCCUUAA
This 98-nucleotide Y RNA is filed under the name Rhinolophus ferrumequinum (greater horseshoe bat). Its description in RNAcentral is "Y RNA (ENSRFEG00010007977.1)". It matches the Rfam family "Y RNA". From Rfam's summary of the family: Y RNAs are components of the Ro ribonucleoprotein particle (Ro RNP), in association with Ro60 and La proteins. The Y RNAs and Ro60 and La proteins are well conserved, but the function of the Ro RNP is not known. The record is from Rfam by way of RNAcentral. Lineage: Eukaryota; Metazoa; Chordata; Mammalia; Chiroptera; Rhinolophidae.